AAACAGACAGUCAGAUAAACUCAAUAUUCAGUUUAUCCUCUUAAUUCUUCAAUUCAGUCCCUGUAAGAUAAAACAGAUGAGAACAGAGUCCAAAAACAGCGUCUCUGUCCUCCAUGUUAGCUGAACAGAUGUCUGUCGACUGUGAUUUUCAUCAUGAAGCACCAUGACAGAGAGAGGACCCUCUAAUUCAACAUUAUUCUCCUCUUUAUUACAGUCAAACAAACUCAGACUGACUUUAUUCAGAGGGCUGGAGACUCAUCCUGAAGCUGUUUGUCAAGGUGACUCUGAAGGAAAGAGUGAGUUAUGGUGUCAGCUGAGGACACACACACACACACACACACAGACACACACACACACCUGUUUUUACUCUGAUUUUUAUAUUUGACCUAAACUCUUUAUGAACUCUUAAUAUUAAAUGUUUAUCUUUUCUCUGUGAGUUAUUAUGGAGUCAGAGUUUUGAAUAAUGAUUAGAGACUGAGAUUGAAGGGGGUUACCUGUAAACUAGUGAAAGCAGCACUUUAGUUUCUUUUUACUUUAACAACCUUUAUCCCACUAAUAAUAACUUUUAUUUUUAUUUGUACUUUUCAAAAACAGAUGUUCACAAAGUGCUUUGACAUGUAGUCGUAGAGCACAUGGAAAAAGACAGAUAAAAACAAAAAGCUCAGUAAAAACAGAAUUAAAGGAACAUUUUCAUUUUUCAUAAUGAACCCAGACAAAACAAGAACCACGCAACAUAAAAUGAGACCAUGAGGACCAAAAACAUCAAAUACUUCAGAAAAAAAGGAAAAUGCAAUAAAAAGGGGAGGGCAAAAGUGGAAACAGGAUAGUAAAUAUAAAAGGCAAUAUCAACAAUGAUAAUAAAAUAAUAACAGGUAAUACUGAGAAUAAUAGUAAUGAUAAAACAGGAAUGAGCGAGAGAUAAAACAAUAAAAGGCCGAAAAGGUUAAUUAAAAAAAGAGUACAAUUUUAACAAAAGAUAAAAAAGACGGUAAAACUGAAAUAAGAUAAAAGAGAUAAAAUAGAAAAGAGACGACAGAUAAAAGAUGAAAGACACUAAGAAUGAAAAUGUCCACUCUGAAUGUUCACUGAUCUAAUUUCAUUCAAAAACCAUCUAAACUAACAUGAGAAAUAAAACUCUUGUCACUUUAAAUAUCUCUUAAGAAUAUAAUACUGUGAGUAGAUGUGUUGUCAGUUUUGUAGUUUUCUGUCAGUUUGUUGGUUCAUAAAGUGAUAUUUGUAAAAUGAAUGACAGUCCUUCACAGUUUAAGGACAGUUUGAGUACUCUGCAGUAUUUAACUCUAUUAUUAUGUUGUGUUGCAGAUAGUUUUCCAGCUCCUAUUAAUCUGUUCAUGAUAAUAAUUCAAUCUGCAAAAUUUAAAAUGAGAAGCUGAAUUUAAACUGGCAGAAAAGUUUAAGAUACUUCAUAAAUAUAACUUUGCACAUGAUUGUAAAGGUUUCUCCAAACUUGUUUUUUAACUUUACUGUCAUGUUUUUAAAGUUGGUGAUGAGGAGUAAGACUGGAGCCCAAAAAUAGACCUGGACUAUUUCACAGUAAGUACGACCCUCUGAAGGGAAACAGCUGAUUUCUUUCUGAACAUGUUAAUGAGGAUUGUUAUACUGAUUAAACUUUCAUUUCCGUUACUUCUGGACAGUUUUUCACAGCCCGUCACUCAGUGGGACCUUUUAAAAGUUUGGUUGUAUCAUGAGACUCAUGAAUAAAGAGUUUUUGUCAGGAGUGAAAUGUGAGAGCAGAUCAGAUCACACAUGAGGAGAAGUGCGGCGCACACAUGACUGUCAGCCGCCUAUGAACCGCCGCCCAUAUGAAAACAGUCAGCUCCUGGUCAGAGCUCAUUCAUGUGACUCUCUACAACGAGCUGAGUGGGAUCAUUUUCAGUUCACAAUGACCAAAGACCAGCAGAAAGUAAUGUGGUGUUUAUGUUGUGUAGUUGUUUAUUUUACAUUUAUCAUGUUUGAGAGGAAAUCCUUAAUUAUCAACCUCACAGUGAUGGUUUUACUGUAAAUGUAGAGUUAAGUGGUUUUACUCAUCAGCUGAUUGGAUUUGAGAAAAUCAAAGUAUUUCAAUAAAAAGUUUAGGUCAAGCCGCAACAACAUUUUAUUAUUCAAGUUUCUCUGUUACUUUUCAUUAAAUGGUCUAAAUAUUCUAAACAGUACGACCUUUAUAGGUUUAUUAUUAACUUCAUGACUGCUGGUUUGGACUCUGUAAUUUGGUGUGUAGUGGGUACAAGAACUGCAUUAUUUCAUGUUUUUAAAAGAACAAUGUUUCAUCCAGUUUAAUAAUAAAAAAAGUUGUGCCGCAAACAUGUUAAUGUACACUUUAGUUUAAACUGCAGUAAUAGGAGUAAAUCAUGUCUAAAAGCAUCAACAGCGCCCUCUGCUGACCUGUCAGGAUACUCUGCAGGAUGUGAUUCUCUCUGAGAGCUCUGAUAAAACCCUCUAAACUAUGACAAUUUUAAAAUACUACACUAUGGCAUUUUUAUGAUUCUUAAGAUAUAUAUGUUUUUAACAUACUAUACUAUGACAUUUUUAUCAUACAAUAAUAUGACUUUUUUCAUACAAAAAAGAUUUUUUUUCACACUAAAUUUAUUUUUUUUACGUACUAUGCUAAGACAUUUUUAACCUUUUCCUCAUAGGUUGUGACUUUUUUUUUUCACACUAAAAUUUUAAAUUUUAAACUAACUAUACUGUGGCAUUUUAAUCUUUUUAAAAAUAUAAUAAUUUUAACAUACUAUACUAUAACACUUGUAUCACUAUAUAUACUGUGACCAUUUUUUAAAUGCUAAAAAAGAUAUUUUUUUCAUGCUAAAUUUUGAAUUUUUUAUACAUACUAUACUAUGACAUUUUCAUCAUACUAUACAAUAGCAUCUAUUUUCCUUAUAAAAUAUGUUUUUUUUUCAAACUAAAAUUUUAAAUUUUAAACAUACUAUACUAUGAUAAUUUUAUCAUACUAUACUAUGACUUUUUUAUUAAACUAAAUUAUGAUAUUUUUUCUAAUACUAAAAUUUGAAAUUUUCAACUUACUAUACUAUGACUUUUUUAACAUACUAUAAUUUGACAUUAUAACAUACUAUACUAUGGCAUUUUUAUCAUACAACACCAUGACAUUUUUUCAAAAUAAAUUAUGAUUUUUUUGUUAUACUAAAAUAUGAAUUUUUAAUAUACUAUACUAGGAAAAUGUCAUAUUAAAAUAUGAUAUUUUUCAUUCUUAAGACAUAAAAUCUUUAACAUACUAUACUUUGACUUUUUAUCACACUAUAAGAUGACUUUUUUUCAUACAAAAAAGGAAAUUUUUUUUCAUGCUAAAUUUGAAUUUAUUAUACAUACUAUUUUAUGACAUUUUAUCAUACUAUACUAUGACAUUUAUUUUCCUUCUAAAAUAUGACUUUUUUUAAACACUUAAAUUUAAAAUCUUUAGCAUACUAUACUUUGACAUUUUUUUCACAUAAAAAUUUUAAAUUUUUAACAUACUAUACUAUGACAUCUGUUUUCUUUUUAAAAAUGCCUUUUUUUUUUCAAACUAAAAUUAAAAAUUUUAAACACACUAUACUAUGACUUUUUUUUACCCAAAAUUUUGGAAUUUUAUACAAACUAUACUUUGAUAUUUUAUCAUACUGUACUAUGACUUUUUUUUUUUCAAACUAAAUAAUAAUAUUUUUUCUUAUACUAAAAUAUGAAAUUUUUAACAUGCUAUACUGUGACAAUUUUAACAUACAACACUAUGACAUUUUAUUCAGUCUGAAUCAUGUUUCUUUAACACAAAAAAAUAUUUUUAACAUACUAGAGGAUGUCAUUUUUCUUAUACUUAAAUAUAUAUUUUUUUUAAAUACUAUACUAAAAAAUUUUGUCAUAAAUAAAAUAAAUUUUUUAUUCUUAAAAUAAAAGUUUUAUCAUACUAAAAGAUGACUGUUUUAUACUAAAAAAAAUUUUUUUAAAAGCUUAAUUUUGAAUUUCUAUUACAUGUUAAACUCUGACAUUAUUAUCAUACUAUACUAUGACAUUUUUAACAUACUUUACUAUGGCAUUUUCAUCAUUUAUAAAAUAUAAAAAUUUCACAUACUAUACUAUGACACUUGUAUCUUACUAUCCUAUGACAAUUUUUUAUCAUACUAAAAAGACUUUUUUUCAUGCUAAAUUUUGAAUAUUUCACACGUGUUAUGACUGCAGUCAUUUAUGUAGUUCUUUGUGGGUUUUUUUUGUUGAUUGACAGCUCUCUCUCUCUCUGUCUCUUCUCCCCUCCUCUGCAGUGGAAAUCAGCCUUCGUGUGAGAGAUGAGCUGCAGGUGUGCGUGUUCUGCUGUUUGCUCCUGUGAUAUGAUUGCUGCAUGCUGAUUGGCUGGCUGAGGACUACUCAAACCACCUGAUGCCAUCCUCCGACCCCCUUCUGGCCUUACCACUUCCAACCAUCAGUCCAUGUCGUCAGUGUGAAGUAUUUUUGUUUAGCCUUGUGAUUAGGAAGAUAAUUUUACUUUAAGAUUUAGUGGCAGACGUAGGAGGGAGAAGCUAUUUUGUUUUCUAUCUUGUUUUUCUCCUGUUUCUUGGUUUUCUGUUGUCUUUUGUUUUACUUUUAUUUUACUAUAGGUAAGUUUGGUCCUUGAUUUAGCUGUUCUGUUUUUUUGUGUUGGCAUCGCUCCUCUCUGAAGUGAAUAAAAUCUGCCUUUUCUGUGAAUCUAAAAACUCUUCAUUGGCUGGUUCUUGGGAGUGGGAAGAGCGGGG
This 4730-nucleotide long non-coding RNA is filed under the name Xyrichtys novacula (pearly razorfish). The record is from RNAcentral. Lineage: Eukaryota; Metazoa; Chordata; Actinopteri; Labriformes; Labridae.